Molecule: ribosomal RNA, 248 nt
Filed under: uncultured bacterium
Lineage: Bacteria
Description: partial 16S ribosomal RNA
Rfam family: Bacterial small subunit ribosomal RNA
Source: RNAcentral
UACAGAGGGUGCUAGCGUUGUUCGGAAUCAUUGGGCGUAAAGGGCGUGUAGGCGGUUUGUUAAGUCAUGUGUGAAAUCCCUCGGCUCAACCGGGGAACGACGCAUGAAACUGGCAAGCUAGAGUACCAAAGAGGGGGUGGAAUUCCCGGUGUAGCGGUGAAUGCGUAGAGAUGUGGAGGAACACCGAUGGCGAAGGCAGCCCUCGGGCGUAACACUGACGCUCAUGCACGAAGCGUGGGAGCAACAGG